UACGUAGGGGGCAAGCGCUGUCCGGAAUCAUUGGGCGUAAAGAGCGUGUAGGCGGCUUGAUAAGUCGGCUGUGAAAGUCAAGGGCUCAACCCUUGAAUGCCGGCCGAUACUGUCAAGCUAGAGUCCGGAAGAGGCGAGUGGAAUUCAUGGUGUAGCGGUGAAAUGCGCAGAUAUCAGGAGGAACACCAAUGGCGAAGGCAGCUCGCUGGGACGGUACCGACGCUGAGACGCGAAAGCGUGGGGAGCGAACAGG
This 253-nucleotide unclassified non-coding RNA is filed under the name uncultured Solirubrobacterales bacterium. RNAcentral's name for it is "contains 16S-23S intergenic spacer region". It matches the Rfam family "Bacterial small subunit ribosomal RNA", at positions 524 to 776 of the family's 1533-position model. The record is from RNAcentral. Lineage: Bacteria; Bacillati; Actinomycetota; Thermoleophilia; Solirubrobacterales.